This 430-nucleotide ribosomal RNA is filed under the name Bordetella bronchiseptica. Its description in RNAcentral is "bacterial SSU rRNA". It matches the Rfam family "Bacterial small subunit ribosomal RNA", at positions 995 to 1426 of the family's 1533-position model. The record is from RNAcentral. Lineage: Bacteria; Pseudomonadati; Pseudomonadota; Betaproteobacteria; Burkholderiales; Alcaligenaceae.
AUCCCGAAGAGAUUUGGGAGUGCUCGCAAGAGAGCCGGAACACAGGUGCUGCAUGGCUGUCGUCAGCUCGUNUCGUGAGAUGNGGGGUUAAGUACCCGCAACGAGCGCAACCCUUGUCANUAGUUGCUACGAAAGGGCACUCUAAUGAGACUGCCGGUGACAAACCGGAGGAAGGUGGGGAUGACGUCAAGUCCUCAUGGCCCUUAUGGGUAGGGCUUCACACGUCAUACAAUGGUCGGGACAGAGGGUCGCCAACCCGCGAGGGGGAGCCAAUCCCAGAAACNCGAUCGUAGUCCGGAUCGCAGUCUGCAACUCGACUGCGUGAAGUCGGAAUCGCUNGUAAUCGCGGAUCAGCAUGUCGCGGUGAAUACGUUCCCGGNUCUUGUACACNCCNCCCGUCACAUCUCAUGGGAGUGGGUUUUAUCCAGAA